GCGGUUCAAUUAUUGGAGACAAUGAACAAAGGGCACCUCACCUACAUACAGACUUUGUAGGUGUUUAAGGCUUUUGUUUUAGUUAUUUUGUGUCUUUCUGGUCAAUUUGUUUCUCUUUGUAGCCAAGUUGAUUUCUUGUAAUUGAAAAACGUUUUGGUCUUUUUAGUUGUUUUUAUUGUCUAAGGUUGUUCUGCCACAUUCUGUAGUUGUUUUGUGUCUCUGUGUGGUUGUUUUGUGUCUCUAUGUGGUUGUUUUGUGUCUCUAUGUGGUGUUGUGUCUAUGUGGUUGUUUGUGUCUCUAUGUGGUUGUUUUGUGUCUCUGUGUGGUUGUUUUGUGUCUCUAUGUGGUUGUUUUGUGUCUCUAUGUGGUUGUUUUGUGUCUCUAUGUGGUUGUUUUGUGUCUCUAUGUGGUUGUUUUGUGUCUAUGUGGUUGUUUUGUGUCUCUAUGUGGUUGUUUUGUGUCUCUAUGUGGUUGUUUUGUGUCUCUAUGUGGUUGUUUUGUGUCUCUAUGUGGUUGUUUUGUAUCUCUUUGUGGUUGUUUUGUGUCUCUAUGUGGUUGUUUUGUGUCUCUAUGUGGUUGUUUUGUGUCUCUUUGUGGUUGUUUUGUGUCUACAUGUGGUUGUUUUGUGUCUACAUGUGGUUGUUUUGUGUCUCUUUGUGGUUGUUUUGUGUCUACAUGUGGUUGUUUUGUGUCUACAUGUGGUUGUUUUGUGUCUCUUUGUGGUUGUUUUGUGUCUACAUGUGGUUGUUUUGUGUCUCUAUGUGGUUGUUUUGUGUCUCUUUGUGGUUGUUUUGUGUCUCUAUGUGGUUGUUUUGUGUCUCUUUGUGGUUGUUUUGUGUCUCUAUGUGGUUGUUUUGUGUCUCUAUGUGGUUGUUUUGUGUCUCUAUGUGGUUGUUUUUAUGUGACAAUAUACAUACAAUCCUUUUAGACUUAAAGUCCUUCUUCAUAGGAAAUAACUUGAAUAAAUUUAG
Molecule: long non-coding RNA, 971 nt
Filed under: Cottoperca gobio
Lineage: Eukaryota; Metazoa; Chordata; Actinopteri; Perciformes; Bovichtidae
Description: lncRNA (ENSCGOG00000004777.1)
Source: RNAcentral